Molecule: ribosomal RNA, 394 nt
Filed under: uncultured bacterium
Lineage: Bacteria
Description: bacterial SSU rRNA
Rfam family: Bacterial small subunit ribosomal RNA
Source: RNAcentral
GAGACACGGCCCAGACUCCUACGGGAGGCAGCAGUGGGGAAUCUUGGACAAUGGGGGAAAGCCUGAUCCAGCCAUGCCGCGUGAGUGAUGAAGGCCUUAGGGUUGUAAAGCUCUUUUACCGGGGAAGAUAAUGACGGUACCCGGAGAAGAAGCCCCGGCUAACUUCGUGCCAGCAGCCGCGGUAAUACGAAGGGGGCUAGCGUUGUUCGGAAUUACUGGGCGUAAAGCGCACGUAGGCGGAUUGGUAAGUCAGGGGUGAAAUCCCGGGGCUCAACCCCGGAACUGCCUUUGAUACUGGCAGUCUUGAGUCCGGGAGAGGUGAGUGGAAUUCCGAGUGUAGAGGUGAAAUUCGUAGAUAUUCGGAAGAACACCAGUGGCGAAGGCGGCUCACUGG